RNAcentral lists this ribosomal RNA (368 nucleotides) under uncultured bacterium. Its description in RNAcentral is "bacterial SSU rRNA". It matches the Rfam family "Bacterial small subunit ribosomal RNA", at positions 527 to 896 of the family's 1533-position model. The record is from RNAcentral.
GAAGGGGGCUAGCGUUGCUCGGAAUCACUGGGCGUAAAGGGUGCGUAGGCGGGUCUUUAAGUCAGGGGUGAAAUCCUGGAGCUCAACUCCAGAACUGCCUUUGAUACUGAAGAUCUUGAGUUCGGGAGAGGUGAGUGGAACUGCGAGUGUAGAGGUGAAAUUCGUAGAUAUUCGCAAGAACACCAGUGGCGAAGGCGGCUCACUGGCCCGAUACUGACGCUGAGGCACGAAAGCGUGGGGAGCAAACAGGAUUAGAUACCCUGGUAGUCCACGCUGUAAACGAUGGAAGCUAGCCGUUGGCAAGUUUACUUGUCGGUGGCGCASUAACGCAUUAAGCUUCCCGCCUGGGGAGUACGGUCGCAAGAUUA